ACAUCUAUUAAAGAUUUUUCCAUUUCCUCAUAUGUCUUGAAAAACUUCUUUCCACCUUUAGUGGUAAUUGCGUCCUCUGCUUUCAUCACUUUAUCUUGUAUUUUUACUCUCAUAUCAUUGACCUCGCCAAUUUCUUUUUCAAUGCCCAUUUGUAUUGAACACCCUUUUUUAUUCAAUUCCUCCCUUAAAGAUUGAGUGUACUUUUCUAUUUUUUCUUUUACAACAUUUUCGUGAUUUGUUAUUUUUUCAUUUACUUGUGAAACUUUAAGCUUUGUCUCUUCUUUGAUUUUUUCCAAUUUUUCAAUUUCAGUUGUUACAGUUUGUUCUUGCUCUUUCAGUGUGAGAAUUUUCUUCCUCACAUUGUCUUUCUUGAUAGAAUAUCCAGUUAUUGUG
Molecule: long non-coding RNA, 393 nt
Filed under: Mytilus galloprovincialis (Mediterranean mussel)
Lineage: Eukaryota; Metazoa; Mollusca; Bivalvia; Mytilida; Mytilidae
Source: RNAcentral